Molecule: ribosomal RNA, 256 nt
Filed under: uncultured bacterium
Lineage: Bacteria
Description: partial 16S ribosomal RNA
Rfam family: Bacterial small subunit ribosomal RNA
Source: RNAcentral
UACGUAGGGCGCAAGCGUUGUCCGGAAUUAUUGGGCGUAAAGAGCUCGUAGGCGGUUUGUCGCGUCGGCUGUGAAAACCCGGAGCUCAACUCCGGGCCUGCAGUCGAUACGGGCAGACUAGAGGUAUGCAGGGGAGAACGGAAUUCCUGGUGUAGCGGUGAAAUGCGCAGAUAUCGAGGAGGAACACCGGUGGCGAAGGCGGUUCUCUGGGCAUUACCUGACGCUGAGGAGCGAAACGCGUGGGGAGCAAACAGGA